This 271-nucleotide RNase P RNA is filed under the name Dehalococcoidia bacterium. RNAcentral's name for it is "partial RNase P RNA component class A". It matches the Rfam family "Bacterial RNase P class A", at positions 93 to 367 of the family's 367-position model. Rfam says of the family: Ribonuclease P (RNase P) is a ubiquitous endoribonuclease, found in archaea, bacteria and eukarya as well as chloroplasts and mitochondria. Its best characterised activity is the generation of mature 5'-ends of tRNAs by cleaving the 5'-leader elements of precursor-tRNAs. Lineage: Bacteria; Bacillati; Chloroflexota; Dehalococcoidia. The record is from RNAcentral.
GACGACCCUACGGAAAGUGCCACAGAAACAUACCGUCCUUCCCUCUGGGAAGGAUAAGGGUGAAAUGGCGAGGUAAGAGCUCACCAGCGGCCGGGUGACCGGUCGGCUGGGCAAACCCCAUCCGGAGCAAGACCGAAUAGGGGGAUAUAUGGGAUGUCCGGCCCAGUCCCCGGGUUGGUCGCUUGACCCCAGAGGUAACUCUGGGGCUAGAUAGAUGGUCACCGUUCGCCUUCGGCGAAUACAGAACUCGGCUUACAAGUUUACUUAACCC